This 69-nucleotide transfer RNA is filed under the name Rattus norvegicus (Norway rat). It matches the Rfam family "tRNA". From Rfam's summary of the family: Transfer RNA (tRNA) molecules are approximately 80 nucleotides in length. The record is from Rfam by way of RNAcentral. Lineage: Eukaryota; Metazoa; Chordata; Mammalia; Rodentia; Muridae.
GGAGAUUUAGCUCAGUGGUAGAGCGCUUACCUAGCAAGUGCAAGGCCCUGGGUUCGGUCCCCAGCUCCG